RNAcentral lists this ribosomal RNA (408 nucleotides) under uncultured bacterium. Its description in RNAcentral is "partial 16S ribosomal RNA". It matches the Rfam family "Bacterial small subunit ribosomal RNA", at positions 28 to 526 of the family's 1533-position model. The record is from RNAcentral.
GACGAACGCUGGCGGCGUGCCUAAUACAUGCAAGUCGAGCGAAGCGGCGGAUGGGUGAGUAACGCGUGGGUAACCUGCCCUUAAGUCUGGGAUAUCAUUUGGAAACAGAUGCUACUACAGGAUACUAAAGGACGCACCUUCGGUGCAUGAGCUAGUUGGUAAGGUAACGGCUUACAAGGGCGAUGAUGCAUAGCCGAGUUGAGAGACUGAUCGGCCACAGUGGGACUGAGACACGGCCCAAACUCCUACGGGAGGCAGCAGUAGGGAAUCUUCCACAAUGGACGAAAGUCUGAUGGAGCAACGCCGCGUGAGUGAAGAAGGUUUUCGGAUCGUAAAGCUCUGUUGUUGGUGAAGCGGUAAUCAACCAGAAAGUCACGGCUAACUACGUGCCAGCAGCCGCGGUAAUUC